GAGCAAGAGGAGGUGCAGAAUUUCACCUAGAGAAAGAGACAACAAGGGAGAAGAGAAGUAAAGAAAAUAGGAGGAAGAGGACAAGAAGUGGGACAAAAAGGCAAGAGAGAGCCCACGUUUCUCCUGCUCUCCCCUCCCUCCUCCACCAACGAGUUUCACCUCAAAAAGAGCAGAGGGACCAACUUCAAAAGGCAGUCAGGAGGGAGCUGGAGUGUGAAACGUGAGGAGAGAAGAAGAUGAGAGGCUGACCGGCGCUGUGCUUGCUGUGCUGUCCAGGACACAAGCAGAGCCCUGGAUCCACAGGUGACUCCUGGCAGUAAUGGGAGUGUCCGUGGAAGAACUCGCUCCUGAAGGCCUGUGAGAGGACACACAAAAGCACGGGCAGGAGAAAGAAAAAGACUGAGGGAGACUCUCUGGGAAGGAAGAGAAGGGAGAGGGAGGUAUGCUUUUUCUUUUUCUCCUGUCUUCCCUCCUUUCCACCUCUGCAUGUGAUUGGAAAGAGAAAGCGGAGCGAGACAAGAGAUCAGCAGGCACAUUGGUUUUUGUCCUUUAACUUGGGUGUGCGUGCACGUCCUCCCCCUUUGUCACCAACCUGCGCCCGAGACCUGCAGGUUUGGACACAAAGCAGUGAGCUCGGAGAGCAGCGAGCGAUUGGGGCAUCCUGGAUCCAAAGGGGAGGAAAAUCCUGCAGGAUCUGCAGUGGAUGUGGAUCUGCAGGAUCCACAUGUGCGCGCCGACCUGGACGAGGCACCUUCGACUUUCUGUUCAAACUGAACAGGCGUCCUCUGACGUGUGUUCAUGAAGAACGUUCAGAGCUGCGAUCCUUCUUUGGCGCCGAUUACCUUAAAUGUGAAAUAGAGGGUGCGAUUUAAAGCUUAAAACUCUGUCCCAGUACUGGAGCUGUCUGAGAUGAAUAAACUUCCAUC
Astatotilapia calliptera (eastern happy) is the source of this 926-nucleotide long non-coding RNA. Lineage: Eukaryota; Metazoa; Chordata; Actinopteri; Cichliformes; Cichlidae. The record is from Ensembl.